RNAcentral lists this ribosomal RNA (1427 nucleotides) under uncultured bacterium. RNAcentral describes it as "bacterial SSU rRNA". It matches the Rfam family "Bacterial small subunit ribosomal RNA". The record is from RNAcentral.
GAUGAACGCUAGCGGCAGGCCUAAUACAUGCAAGUCGAACGGUAAGCUCCUGCUUGCAGGAGACACGAGUGGCGCACGGGUGCGUAACGCGUAGGAACUCACCCCAAAGUUGAGCAUAACCCAUCGAAAGGUGGAAUAAUUCUCAAUAGUCCCGCAAGGGUAAAGAUUUAUCGCUUUGGGAGAGGCCUGCGUAGUAUCAGCUUGUUGGUAGUGUAAUGGACUACCGAGGCUAUGACGCUUAGGGGAGGUGAGAGCCUGACCCCCACCGAUGGAACUGAGACACGGUCCAUACACCUACGGGUGGCCGCAGUCGAGAAUCUUCCGCAAUGGACGAAAGUCUGACGGAGCGACGUCGCGUGAUUGAUGAAGUCCUUCGGGAUGUAAAGAUCUUUUAUAGGUGAAGAAGUUUAUUGACAUUAGCCUAUGAAUAAGGAGCUGCUAAACUCGUGCCAGCAGCAGCGGUAAUACGAGUGCUCCAAGCGUUAUCCGGAAUUAUUGGGCGUAAAGGGUCCGCAGGCGGUUAUAUUAGUCUUUCGUCAAAGCCCAGGGCUUAACCCUGGAUCAGCGAAAGAAACGGUAUAACUAGAGGAUGUGAGAGGUAUAUGGAACUUACGGUGUAGGGGUGAAAUCCGUUGAUAUCGUGGGGAACACCAAAAGCGAAGGCAAUAUACUGGCACAUUCCUGACGCUCAGGGACGAAAGCGUGGGUAGCGAAUGGGAUUAGAUACCCCCAGUAGUCCACGCCCUAAACGAUCUUCUCUAGCUAUUCGGAGUAUCGACCCUCUGUGUGGCGAAGCUAACGCGUUAAGAGAAGCGCCUGGGGAGUACGAGCGCAAGCUUAAAACUCAAAGGAAUAGACGGGGACUCGCACAAGCGGUGGAUCACGUGGCUUAAUUCGAUGUUAAGCGAAGAACCUCACCAAGACUAGAAACUUAUACUGAAAGUUCUGAGAAACCAGAACCCUCUUCGGACAGUUAAGCAGGUGAUGCAUGGCCGUCGUCAGUUCGUGGCUUGAGUUGUUCCGUUAAGUCGGGAAACGAACGCAACCCUCGUUGUCUGUUAUAUUUGUCAGGCGAGACUGCCCCGUGUAGUGUACCUAAAAAGUUUGGGUAUAGUACACGGGGAGGAAGGCGGGGAUGACGCCAGGUCAGCAUGUCCCUUGAUGUCUUGGGCUGCACACAUGAUACAAUGGUCACUACAACGGGUUGCGAUACGGUAACGUUCAGCUAAUCCUUCAAAAGUGGCCCCAGUUCGGAUUGAGGGCUGAAACUCGCCCUCAUGAAGUUGGAAUCGCUAGUAAUGGCAGGUCAGAACACUGCCGUGAAUACGUUCUCGAGUCUUGUACUCACCGCCCGUCAAGUCAAGGGAGCCGGGAGUGCCCAACGCCUCACCUAAAGUGGGUCUAAGGUAAGCUUGGUAACAGGGACU